GUUCUUUGUGUCGUGAAGCUUCUAGCACACUCACCUCCUUGGUGAAGAGAGCUUCCAGCUCUUGCUCAGCUAGGACACCAUUGCUGUUGAUGUCUGCAGAUGAGAUAAGA
Non-coding RNA from Peromyscus maniculatus bairdii (prairie deer mouse), 110 nucleotides. The record is from RefSeq and is a predicted model, not a curated record. NCBI's taxonomy places the organism in Eukaryota, Metazoa, Chordata, Mammalia, Rodentia, Cricetidae.